UUCCUACGGGAGGCAGCAGUGGGGAAUAUUGCGCAAUGGGGGCAACCCUGACGCAGCAACGCCGCGUGCGGGACGAAGGCCCUGCGGGUCGCAGACCUCUUUGGACGGGGAGCAAGGCCGCCGACGUGUCGGCGGAAGGAGAGUACCCGUAGAACAAGCAUCGGCUAACUCCGUGCCAGCAGCCGCGGUAAUACGGAGGAUGCGAGCGUUAUCCGGAUUUAUUGGGUUUAAAGGGUGCGCAGGCGGCACGGCAAGCCGGCGGUCAAAUCGCGGGGCUCAACCCCGCCCAGCCGUCGGAACUGCCG
RNAcentral lists this ribosomal RNA (305 nucleotides) under uncultured bacterium. RNAcentral's name for it is "bacterial SSU rRNA". It matches the Rfam family "Bacterial small subunit ribosomal RNA", at positions 336 to 638 of the family's 1533-position model. The record is from RNAcentral.